AUUGAACGCUGGCGGCAUGCCUUACACAUGCAAGUCGAACGGCAGCACGGACUUCGGUCUGGUGGCGAGUGGCGAACGGGUGAGUAAUGUAUCGGAACGUACCUUUCAGUGGGGGAUAACGUAGCGAAAGUUACGCUAAUACCGCAUAUUCUGUGAGCAGGAAAGCAGGGGAUCGCAAGACCUUGCGCUGAUUGAGCGGCCGAUAUCAGAUUAGCUAGUUGGUGAGGUAAAGGCUCACCAAGGCGACGAUCUGUAGCGGGUCUGAGAGGAUGAUCCGCCACACUGGAACUGAGACACGGUCCAGACUCCUACGGGAGGCAGCAGUGGGGAAUUUUGGACAAUGGGGGCAACCCUGAUCCAGCCAUGCCGCGUGAGUGAAGAAGGCCUUCGGGUUGUAAAGCUCUUUCGGCCGGGAAGAAAUCGCAUGGGCUAAUACCCUGUGCGGAUGACGGUACCGGCAUAAGAAGCACCGGCUAACUACGUGCCAGCAGCCGCGGUAAUACGUAGGGUGCGAGCGUUAAUCGGAAUUACUGGGCGUAAAGCGUGCGCAGGCGGUUUUUUAAGACAGGCGUGAGAUCCCCGGGCUCAACCUGGGAACUGCGCUUGUGACUGGAAGGCUAGAGUAUGGCAGAGGGGGGUGGAAAUUCCACGUGUAGCAGUGAAAUGCAUAGAGAUGUGGAGGAACACCAAUGGCGAAGGCAGCCCCCU
Molecule: ribosomal RNA, 708 nt
Filed under: uncultured bacterium
Lineage: Bacteria
Description: bacterial SSU rRNA
Rfam family: Bacterial small subunit ribosomal RNA
Source: RNAcentral